GGAGAUCUAGCUCAGCGGUAGAGCACUUGCCUAGCAAGCGCAAGGCCCUGGGUUCGGUCCCCAGCUCCA
This 69-nucleotide transfer RNA is filed under the name Rattus norvegicus (Norway rat). It matches the Rfam family "tRNA". From Rfam's summary of the family: Transfer RNA (tRNA) molecules are approximately 80 nucleotides in length. Their secondary structure includes four short double-helical elements and three loops (D, anti-codon, and T loops). Lineage: Eukaryota; Metazoa; Chordata; Mammalia; Rodentia; Muridae. The record is from Rfam by way of RNAcentral.